Molecule: ribosomal RNA, 493 nt
Filed under: uncultured bacterium
Lineage: Bacteria
Description: partial 16S ribosomal RNA
Rfam family: Bacterial small subunit ribosomal RNA
Source: RNAcentral
AUUGAACGCUGGCGGCAUGCCUUACACAUGCAAGUCGAACGGUAACAGGUUAAGCUGACGAGUGGCGAACGGGUGAGUAAUAUAUCGGAACGUGCCCAGUCGUGGGGGAUAACGUAGCGAAAGCUACGCUAGUACCGCAUACGAUCUACGGAUGAAGGGGGGGGAGCGUAAGCCCUCGAGCGAUUGGAGCGGCCGAUAUCAGAUUAGGUUGAUGGUGAGGCAAAAGCUAACCAAGUCUGCGAUCUGUAGCGGGUAUGAGAGGAAGACCAGCCACACUGAAGCUGAGACACGGUCCAGACUCCUACGGGAGGCAGCAGUGGGGAAUUUUGGACAAUGGACGCAAGUCUGAUCCAGCAACGCCGCGUGCAGGACGAAGGCCUUCGGGUUGUAAACUGCUUUUGUACGGAACGAAACGGUGAGCUCUAAUACAGUUUGCUAAUGACGGUACCGUAAGAAUAAGCACCGGCUAACUACGUGCCAGCCGCCGCAGUAA